Molecule: long non-coding RNA, 2574 nt
Filed under: Triticum aestivum (bread wheat)
Lineage: Eukaryota; Viridiplantae; Streptophyta; Magnoliopsida; Poales; Poaceae
Description: long non-coding RNA (TAES_LNC018838)
Source: RNAcentral
GAUCACAUACCUGAUUUGUUUGUUGUCCUUGAAGCAAAUACCAUGACAUGAGCUUGAAGAUUUCAAAGAUACAGAAGGUUGACAGAAAGAGGAUACACUGAUUUCAGCUGCGGACAUUGAGCUGAGUCUCUCCCUAAUAGGUAACUCACCUUUCAACAUAUUCAUUGCAGAAGCAGAAACAAUGGGAUACCUGACCUGCAUACUUGCAUUCUGACAUGUUUUUGCUCGUGCCGUAAAAUUGGAAUGAUGUCCAUGCUGUUAACCUCUACAACUUACCCACACUUCAGAUAACCCAAGGUCUGGAACCCCAACAAUUUUAGUACGUAGCAAAUGUAACUUCUUCUCUAACAAAAAUAAUAAUGAGAGGCAUGUUACAGUUAGUUUUACCCUGAGAAUUGAUCAUCAUUCUGUAACCUUAAGACAAACAUAUAACUUGUGACAUAUUCAUGCAGAUGUGUGCUUUGCAAAUCGACUGACCUUUUUUGUCUUCUGUGAAUAGAUGUUGAAUGCUAAUAUAAAUCUGCAAUAUGUCUCAGCAAAAAUGUGGACUUCAUAAUUUGUCUUUCAAUGGUGCAUAGUUCAAUUUUGUCUUCCUAAUUUAUACAGUAUCAGCUCAUAUGCCGAUUUAUCUCAUAAAUAAGUAUUCACUCUUACAACACCACCAUGCAUGUUUUCUACACUUCUGCAGCAGACCAUCUUUCAAUUUUGAUUUGCAUAACCAUGCAUAUAUAGUGUAUUGAAGCAGCAAAUGGCAUUUACCGUGCUGCUAAAAUAAGAAUCAAAAUUGAAGAGUGUAUUGAACCAGUGGGAGAAGUUAAUGUUCCACGGAAUUGCUAAUCCCGUCUCCAAGGUUUAAUGUUUGUUAUUGACCUAAGAGAAAAUGGGUUCUGCAUCUCUGAUGUGAUGUAUUUCUAACAAACAGUGGCAAAAUGCACGGGUAAUUACUCUUAUAUAGUUUGAUGCUUGAAAAGUUGUAGAGUCGGCGCCUCUCUUUGAAGUGUACAUGAUGUAAUAAGAACAAAAAAUAAAGAAGCAUCUUGAGUACCAUGCCCAGAUACAGUGUUAAUGCCCACAGCUCUAUUUUGUUCCAUUAGAAAUACAAUUAUAUUUUGUUACAUUCAGGUAGUGUUAUAUCAUGCACGUGUAUUACAGGUGUUUCUCUCUACUUUGUGCUCCAGAUUUGUUUCCCUACAAUAUGGCAGAUUAAUGUAUAUUCUUCUGAAGUCAUAGUACAUUCAUGGUCUGUAUAUAUGUUUGUAUGCUGCAAACCUGAGUCCGGUAGGCAGCGGCUGAUUUCUUCAUUUGCUAUCUUUAUAUUCUUCAAAGCAAUUUAAUUUCUUAUCUUGCACCUGUGAUGAACCUACAAUCUAGAGCACAAGGAAACUAUAGAUAAUUUGUUCUAUUGCCUCUGUGAACUUAAGUUAUGGCUUUUAAAAGUAUUUAAACACCAUGUCUUUUAUAUGGAUGUCUACCUUUUCCAAAAGAAUUGAUAUUCUAUUUGGUGUAAUUCAGGAACAACUGAGCUAUCAAACAUAAUAUGGGAUGCAAAAAUAGAAGUGUAUGAGCAUGUAGUGUAAAAUUCGGGAGAUUAGGGGAAUGUAUUGACAAGUGACAAUUGUAUUUCCUUGCGUCCUCAAUGCUGCUUCCUUAGCUCACAUAGCAGUUCUUUUAAUACGUACCGUACUCGAUUUGAUUGGCAGGCUUCAGGUAAUUUGUGUUUGUGUGGUAACAUCAGCGGACCUGUACUGCUACGAAUUACAUCACGGACUAUGUGCUACUUUAUUAAUUGUAGUUUCUUUGUUCAGUUAGUUCUCUGGAAAAAACCACUUCAUCUCCCGAUGUAUAUGUUUUUUUUGUGAAUUCCCGAUGUAUAUGUUUAAUACUAAUCUUCCAAAGAUUGUUGUAAGAAAUAACUAUAUUUACUAUCUUAUCUCAUCAGUGGGCUAAUUCUAUAAAAGAACUAAUAAGGAGAUUUCUUAGCUGUACUGUAUAUGUUUGGAGCAGUGAGAUAAUUUUAUCCUAUAUGAUUUUCUUUCUCUUGCCUUUCCUGAUUUCGUUUUCCCCUCCAUUUUCUUCAGGUUUCAAAGUUUGGCCGCAGCUAGCUUGAUUUGGAGACAUUUCCUGUUAGGAGUUAAACUUUGGUUUGGAGGCAUCGAGCUUUGGCUGUAACUAGCUUUGUUACUUGGUAUACCUCUGUCAGCAUUCAGGUAAACACUAUCUACCACAUUGUUUAAUAUGGGGUUUACUCUGGUGCCACGUGUACUAUAUUGCUAGAUUUAACUUUAAUCUAUGAGUUGGUUCGUAUCUAUUUCGGCAUAAAUGUUUCGUCAUACUAGGAUUUAAUUGGUGAUCUUACUUUUGUUGCCUUUUGGUGACUAUGAAAUAUAUUGCAUUUUCAUGGAAGCAGGAGCCGGGUAGUUGUUGAGCGGGUUGUGGGAGAGGCGGUCGGCGAGCGCGGGCUAGACGGGAAGGUGAUGCUUGCGAUGGCGACCAUGCCGGCGGGCAGGCAAGGUCGAUUGUGUCCAUCAUGGUGUUUCAGAGGGAGAGCGAGGCAUCUGCCAUCGCGCAUCUGAA